Molecule: ribosomal RNA, 449 nt
Filed under: uncultured bacterium
Lineage: Bacteria
Description: partial 16S ribosomal RNA
Rfam family: Bacterial small subunit ribosomal RNA
Source: RNAcentral
AACGAACGCUGGCGGCAUGCCUAACACAUGCAAGUCGAACGAGAUCUUCGGGUCUAGUGGCGCACGGGUGCGUAACGCGUGGGAAUCUGCCCUUUGGUUCGGAAUAACAGUUGGAAACGACUGCUAAUACCGGAUGAUGACGAAAGUCCAAAGAUUUAUCGCCAGAGGAUGAGCCCGCGUAGGAUUAGCUAGUUGGUGUGGUAAAGGCGCACCAAGGCGACGAUCCUUAGCUGGUCUGAGAGGAUGAUCAGCCACACUGGGACUGAGACACGGCGCAGAAUCCGACGGGGGGCCGCAGUGGGGAAUAUUGGACAAUGGGAGAAAGCCUGAACCAGCAAUGCCGCGUGGGUGAUGAAGGCCUUAGGGUUGUAAAUCUCUUUUACCCGGGAUGAUAAUGACAGUACCGGGAGAAUAAGCUCCGGCUAACUCCGUGCCAGCAGCCGCGGUAA